RNAcentral lists this unclassified non-coding RNA (243 nucleotides) under plant metagenome. Its description in RNAcentral is "partial contains small subunit ribosomal RNA, internal transcribed spacer 1, and 5.8S ribosomal RNA". The record is from RNAcentral.
UCUCCGUUGGUGAACCAGCGGAGGGAUCAUUACCAGAGUUUUACAAUUCCCAACCCUUAUGUGAUCCUACCUAUCGUUGGUUCGGCGGACUCGCCCCAGCGGCCGGACGGCCCCGCGCCCGCCCGCGACCUGACCCACGCGGCCGCCGGAGCCCGCACAAUCCUGUAUCCAUCAGUCUCUCUGUAUCCGCCGCAAGGCAAAACAAACGAAUCAAAACUUUCAACAAUGGAUCUCUUGGUUCUG